Molecule: long non-coding RNA, 1613 nt
Organism: Equus quagga
Lineage: Eukaryota; Metazoa; Chordata; Mammalia; Perissodactyla; Equidae
Exons: 3
Source: RefSeq, a predicted model, not a curated record
CCUGGAUAGCCUGGGCAGGCGUUGAGGACGUGAUGUGUGCCUUAUUUAUCUCGGCAUCUUUUGGUCUGCUGGGCGCAUAACAGAUAUGCCCCAUCAUCAAGGGAAGCUCGGUUAUGGGAACAGGUGACACAGAAAGUGCCCUGGGCUGGGGACCCAGCUCUGUCCCUAGCCAGCAGCACAGCCACGAUCCUUUCCCUCUGUCUGAGUAUAAACCCCCUGGAAAUUUCCUGUGUGUCCUGCAACAGUUUCAGAGAACAGGACAAGAGGAGACCCAGUGCUGCUGUAACUUCAGACUGACUAGGUGAGAGUUGUCACCACACGAUAAAAGAUGGCAUCCAUGAAGCCACGAGGUCACCAAACAGUGGCUCUGGAUACAGUUGGUUUCGGCUUGCUUGGAGUCAUGUGCUUAACUGCUAACACCUGGAGAGUCCAAGAGCCAAACACUCACGUGUAUUUGGCGCUUUGAAAAUCUCAACGUCUGCUUCUGGUCUCUAACAAACUGCAAAGAGCAUAUUUCUAAAGUUUUAUUGGAAGGCAGAAAGUGUAUAUAUCAGAGGCCACCUUUUUGUCAAGAUCUAGGGUUGACAAAGAACUGGAACACAGGUUCAAGGAAGUAAAAGGCUAGAUGAAGCCUCAUCUCAAAGGCUCUAUCCAUCUAUCUACCAAUCCAUCUAUCUCAACAGUCUAACAAGCUAUGUCAAUAGCCUUCCAAUAUCUAGAAGACUUUUGUGGGUAGCUGGAGAGGCAAAUUUCUUAAUCUCUACUUUAAUUAUGAGCAACAGAGGUGAGAUCAAACCAAGGACAAACAGCAAAUCAGAGGAUGUAGUCCAGGAAUUCCCGAAUUCCUGGUUCCCAUUCUUGAAUGUAGACCCCUUUGCUACACAUCACCACAGAAUAUUUCCAUAAUUGAGAGUAAGAUUUGCAGUUUGGUUCCUAGGAAAUGCCUCUCAUAAUAAUGUCAGGAACUAUUGUUGCAACCUUAUGUUUCCUUUAGGGUAACAAGAUGACAAAAUGAAAAUGGGCUCUACAAGUCUUGCUAGCAGUGUGUUGGAAACUGGCAGAUGGCACAGUGGAUUCUGAGUUUCUCCUCAUGAACAAUCCAAUUUUCUUUUGGGGAGUUGACUACCCACUGACUCCAAUAGCCACUUCCCAAGGCACAGCCUUACAUAGGGGUAGUGUGCUUAGAAGAUUCCCUUUUUCUCAUACGGGAUAGGAGACAGCCCAAAAGGCUAGGUCACACUCCUCAUGACAGACUACAGGUUAGGCUUGAGAAGGGCAGGGAUGGUUGUGAUGGUUCUAUGAGUUCUGCGAAUGAUGGUGAAGAGGGAUUAAGAGCUUCCACUGGCGGGAAGAGCUUGGUGGGACACGAGGAAGAAUUUAACCGAUGGAGGCUUUAAAAGACCUGAGCUGAGCUGCUGAGUGGGACUGGAGUCCCCACAUAUGUCCCAUAACUGGGCUCCACAAAUACAGUUCCAAAAUUUGUUCCCAUCAUGGAAAUGCACACCUCCAACUACUCAAUUCAAUUCUCAAUAAACAUUCAAUAAAUAUUUACUUAGAUCUACUAUGCCAGGCACUGUGCUGGGUUCCGGGAAUAUAUAACAGAAUACAACACG